AACCGUUCUCAAAAACUGAAACCGUUAAAAUUUAAAACGGUUUCGAUCCCAGGUAGRUAUCUAGAAGCUUAAAAGCUCCAGGUUGGUGGAGACGAUACUCGGGCAGUAGGAGGCUGCAGAGCUCGUCAGACAAGCGAAAGAUGGACGG
This is a long non-coding RNA of Diuraphis noxia (Russian wheat aphid), 148 nucleotides long. Lineage: Eukaryota; Metazoa; Arthropoda; Insecta; Hemiptera; Aphididae. The record is from RefSeq and is a predicted model, not a curated record.